CAUUGUCAGCACAUGCUUCAGUGCUCUGAGAGUGUUUAUAGUGCUGUGAGUUUAACACUUCAUGACUCACACUGUUUAUCAUUACAGACACAACGACUACAAUGACGUUCAUCAUCUUGAUUUUGAUCUUAGGGAUGUAUUUUCAAGAGUCUACAGGACAGGUGACUGUAAUCCAGACUCCAAAAGAGAAACAAGUUCAGAACGGACAAACAGUCACUCUGACCUGUAAAACCAGCAGCGCCAUUGGAGACCUGUCAAAUGGUUGGUGUAAGCAAUGCUUCUCCUGGUACUUACAGAAACCUGGAGAAACUCCUAAACUUUUAGUUCACAGCAUCAAAACCCUUUAUUCUGGAACUCCAUCAAGAUUCAGUGGAAAUGGAGCCGAUCAUGGAACUGAUUUCACUCUGACCAUCAGUGGAGUCCAGACUGAAGAUACAGGAGAUUAUUACUGUCAGAGUGUACACUGGAUCAACAGUAAAGCUGUGUUCACACAGUGAUAAAGAGU
Non-coding RNA from Labeo rohita (rohu), 505 nucleotides. The record is from the annotation of a RefSeq genome assembly. Lineage: Eukaryota; Metazoa; Chordata; Actinopteri; Cypriniformes; Cyprinidae.